UGGCUGUGAUGGCAAGAACAUACAUUUCUCGAUGCUGAGACUUGAUUUGUUCAAGGACCAAAAUUUUGAUGAGAUCUAUGCGUGUCUGAGCCGG
Small nucleolar RNA from Panicum hallii, 94 nucleotides. RefSeq annotates it as small nucleolar RNA snoR126. Lineage: Eukaryota; Viridiplantae; Streptophyta; Magnoliopsida; Poales; Poaceae. The transcript has a single exon. The record is from RefSeq and is a predicted model, not a curated record.